RNAcentral lists this ribosomal RNA (477 nucleotides) under uncultured bacterium. RNAcentral's name for it is "SSU rRNA". It matches the Rfam family "Bacterial small subunit ribosomal RNA", at positions 26 to 523 of the family's 1533-position model. The record is from RNAcentral.
AGAACGAACGCUGGCGGCAUGCCUAACACAUGCAAGUCGAACGCUCUUGGGGCUUCGGUCUCAGGGGAGUGGCGCACGGGUGAGUAGCGCGUGGGAACCUGCCCUGUUGUGGGGGAUAACCGAGGGAAACUUCGGCUAAUACCGCAUAAGCCGGUUGUCUUGAAGGAGAUGGCCGGGAAAGAUUUAUCGCGACAGGAGGGGCCCGCGUCGGAUUAGCUAGUUGGUGGGGUAACGGCCCACCAAGGCGGUGAUCCGUAGCUGGUCUGAGAGGAUGAUCAGCCACACUGGGACUGAGACACGGCCCAGACUCCUACGGGAGGCAGCAGUGGGGAAUAUUGGACAAUGGGCGCAAGCCUGAUCCAGCAAUGCCGCGUGAGUGAUGAAGGCCUUAGGGUUGUAAAGCUCUUUCGCCCGCGACGAUGAUGACGGUAGCGGGAGAAGAAGCCCCGGCUAACUUCGCGCCAGCAGCCGCGGUAA